This 443-nucleotide ribosomal RNA is filed under the name uncultured bacterium. RNAcentral's name for it is "partial 16S ribosomal RNA". It matches the Rfam family "Bacterial small subunit ribosomal RNA", at positions 338 to 795 of the family's 1533-position model. The record is from RNAcentral.
CCUACGGGAGGCAGCAGUGGGGAAUAUUGGUCAAUGGGCGCAAGCCUGACCCAGCAACGCCGCGUGAAGGAAGAAGGCUUUCGGGUUUUAAACUUCUUUUCUCAGGGACGAAGAAGGUGACGGUACCUGAGGAAUAAGCCACGGCUAACUACGUGCCAGCAGCCGCGGUAAUACGUAGGUGGCAAGCGUUAUCCGGAUUUAUUGGGUGUAAAGGGUGUGUAGGCGGGAGUGCAAGUCAGAGGUGAAAACUCAGGUCUCAACCCUGGGCCUGGCUUUGAAACUGUGUUUCUUGAGUGCUGGAGAGGCAAUCGGAAUUCGGGGUGUAGCGGUGAAAUGCGUAGAUAUACGGAGGAACACCAGUGGCGAAGGCGGAUUGCUGGACCGUAACUGACGCUGAGGCACGAAAGCGUGGGGAGCAAACAGGAUUAGAUACCCGAGUAGUC